This 1492-nucleotide ribosomal RNA is filed under the name uncultured prokaryote. Its description in RNAcentral is "partial 16S ribosomal RNA". It matches the Rfam family "Bacterial small subunit ribosomal RNA". The record is from RNAcentral.
UUAGAGUUUGAUCAUGGCUCAGGAUGAACGCUAGCGGUGUGCCUAAUGCAUGCAAGUCGAACGAGAUCCUUUGGAUUCGUCUGAAGGUGAGAGUGGCGGACGGGUGAGUAUCGCGUUGGUGACCUGCCCCAGAGAGGGGAACAACCAUUGGAAACGAUGGCUAAUACCCCGGAUGUCAUUGUGUUUAGAAAACAAUGACUAAAGCUCCGGCGCUCUGGGAGGGGCCUGCGUCCCAUCAGCUUGUUGGUAAGGUAAUGGCUUACCAAGGCAAAGACGGGUAGGGGACGUGAGAGCGUGACCCCACACUGGUACUGAGACACGGACCAGACUCCUACGGGAGGCAGCAGUGAGGAAUAUUGGGCAAUGGAGUCAACUCUGACCCAGCCAUGCCGCGUGCAGGAAGACUGCCCUAUGGGUUGUAAACUGCUUUUAUACAGGAAGAAACACUCCCUCGUGAGGGAGCUUGACGGUACUGUAAGAAUAAGGAUCGGCUAACUCCGUGCCAGCAGCCGCGGUAAUACGGAGGAUCCAAGCGUUAUCCGGAAUCAUUGGGUUUAAAGGGUCCGUAGGUGGAUAAUUUAGUCAGAGGUGAAAUCCUGCAGCUUAACUGUAGAAUUGCCUUUGAUACUGGUUAUCUUGAGUUAUCAUGAAGUAGUUAGAAUAUGUAGUGUAGCGGUGAAAUGCAUUGAUAUUACAUAGAAUACCAAUUGCGAAGGCAGAUCACUAAUAAUGUACUGACACUGAUGGACGAAAGCGUGGGUAGCGAACAGGAUUAGAUACCCUGGUAGUCCACGCCGUAAACGAUGGUCACUAGCUGUUUGAACUUUAAGUUUGAGUGGCUAAGCGAAAGUGAUAAGUGACCCACCUGGGGAGUACGUUCGCAAGAAUGAAACUCAAAGGAAUUGACGGGGGCCCGCACAAGCGGUGGAGCAUGUGGUUUAAUUCGAUGAUACGCGAGGAACCUUACCAGGGCUUAAAUGUAGUGGGACAGGGGUGGAAACACUCUUUUCUUCGGACUCAUUACAAGGUGCUGCAUGGUUGUCGUCAGCUCGUGCCGUGAGGUGUCAGGUUAAGUCCUAUAACGAGCGCAACCCCUGUUGUUAGUUGCCAUCGAGUAAUGUCGGGAACUCUAACAAGACUGCCGGUGCAAACCGUGAGGAAGGUGGGGAUGACGUCAAAUCAUCACGGCCCUUACGUCCUGGGCUACACACGUGCUACAAUGGCCGGUACAGUGAGCAGCCACCCCGUGAGGGGGAGCGAAUCUAUAAAACCGGUCACAGUUCGGAUCGGAGUCUGCAACUCGACUCCGUGAAGCAGGAAUCGCUAGUAAUCGGAUAUCAGCCAUGAUCCGGUGAAUACGUUCCCGGGCCUUGUACACACCGCCCGUCAAGCCAUGGAAGCUGGGGGUACCUGAAGUCGGUGACCGUAAGGAGCUGCCUAGGGUAAAACUGGUAACUAGGGCUAAGUCGUAACAAGGUAGCCAAUCACUAGU